This is a non-coding RNA of Drosophila melanogaster (fruit fly), 359 nucleotides long. Lineage: Eukaryota; Metazoa; Arthropoda; Insecta; Diptera; Drosophilidae. The record is from Ensembl.
AGCUCACAAUCGUGUUUCGAUCUAAGACUGUGCCUUCUCCAUCUCUGUUUCCCUCACUCCUGCCAUCUCCCUCUCUCGCUGACCUUGCUGCCAACGAAAUUUCUACUUCCUGCUCUCCUACAUUUUCCCGUUCCUCUUUUUUGUCGAUGCUUCCUUCCUUCGUUCAGCUAAAUCUGAUGCGCACCCCAGAGCAGCAACAAACAUAAAAUAUAUAUAAGUAUGUACAUAUAUAUCCGACUGUUACCAACCCAACUCAGCCCACACACACACACACACACACACACAGAGAGUCUACACCCAUACCAUAUCGCACGCACACACUAAGCGAUUGCGUCCCGUUUUCGAAUUUCGAGCGAAAC